This 582-nucleotide ribosomal RNA is filed under the name Rhodotorula mucilaginosa. RNAcentral describes it as "eukaryotic LSU rRNA". It matches the Rfam family "Eukaryotic large subunit ribosomal RNA", at positions 54 to 650 of the family's 3401-position model. Lineage: Eukaryota; Fungi; Basidiomycota; Microbotryomycetes; Sporidiobolales; Sporidiobolaceae. The record is from RNAcentral.
AGGAAAAGAAACUAACAAGGAUUCCCCUAGUAGCGGCGAGCGAAGCGGGAAGAGCUCAAAUUUAUAAUCUGGCACCUUCGGUGUCCGAGUUGUAAUCUCUAGAAAUGUUUUCCGCGUUGGACCGCACACAAGUCUGUUGGAAUACAGCGGCAUAGUGGUGAGACCCCCGUAUAUGGUGCGGACGCCCAGCGCUUUGUGAUACAUUUUCGAAGAGUCGAGUUGUUUGGGAAUGCAGCUCAAAUUGGGUGGUAAAUUCCAUCUAAAGCUAAAUAUUGGCGAGAGACCGAUAGCGAACAAGUACCGUGAGGGAAAGAUGAAAAGCACUUUGGAAAGAGAGUUAACAGUACGUGAAAUUGUUGGAAGGGAAACGCUUGAAGUCAGACUUGCUUGCCGAGCAAUCGGUUUGCAGGCCAGCAUCAGUUUUCCGGGAUGGAUAAUGGUAGAGAGAAGGUAGCAGUUUCGGCUGUGUUAUAGCUCUCUGCUGGAUACAUCUUGGGGGACUGAGGAACGCAGUGUGCCUUUGGCGGGGGUUUCGACCUCUUCACACUUAGGAUGCGGGAAUGGAAUGGCUUUAAACGACCC